This 592-nucleotide ribosomal RNA is filed under the name uncultured Leibleinia sp. RNAcentral's name for it is "bacterial SSU rRNA". It matches the Rfam family "Bacterial small subunit ribosomal RNA", at positions 108 to 734 of the family's 1533-position model. The record is from RNAcentral. Lineage: Bacteria; Bacillati; Cyanobacteriota; Cyanophyceae; Leptolyngbyales; Leptolyngbyaceae.
GAGUAACGCGUGAGGAUCUGCCCUUAGAUGGGGGACAACAGUUGGAAACGACUGCUAAUACCGCAUGAGCCGAGAGGUAAAAGAUAUAUUGUCUAAGGAUGAACUCGCGUCUGAUUAGCUAGUUGGUGGGGUAAGGGCCUACCAAGGCAACGAUCAGUAGCUGGUCUGAGAGGAUGAUCAGCCACACUGGGACUGAGACACGGCCCAGACUCCUACGGGAGGCAGCAGUGGGGAAUUUUCCGCAAUGGGCGAAAGCCUGACGGAGCAACGCCGCGUGCGGGAGGACGGUUUGUGGACUGUAAACCGCUUUUAAUAGGGAAGAAGAACUGACGGUACCUAUUGAAUCAGCAUCGGCUAACUCCGUGCCAGCAGCCGCGGUAAUACGGAGGAUGCAAGCGUUAUCCGGAAUUAUUGGGCGUAAAGGGUCCGCAGGUGGUUUUUCAAGUCAGUCGUUAAAUAUUCGAGCUUAACUCGGAAGUAGCGGUUGAAACUGAAAGACUAGAGUACGGUAGGGGCAGAGGGAAUUCCUAGUGUAGCGGUGAAAUGCGUAGAUAUUAGGAAGAACACCAGUGGCGAAGGCGCUCUGCUGGGC